AGGGCACCACCAGGAGUGGAGCCUGCGGCUUAAUUUGACUCAACACGGGAAAACUCACCAGGUCCAGACACAAUAAGGAUUGACAGAUUGAGAGCUCUUUCUUGAUUUUGUGGGUGGUGGUGCAUGGCCGUUCUUAGUUGGUGGAGUGAUUUGUCUGCUUAAUUGCGAUAACGAACGAGACCUUAACCUGCUAACUAGGGCGCCCCGCGCUUGCGGGGGAGCUCUUCUUAGAGGGACCAUCGGUUUCAAGCCGAAGGAAGUUUGAGGCA
This 269-nucleotide ribosomal RNA is filed under the name uncultured eukaryote. Its description in RNAcentral is "partial small subunit ribosomal RNA". It matches the Rfam family "Eukaryotic small subunit ribosomal RNA", at positions 1161 to 1452 of the family's 1831-position model. The record is from RNAcentral.